CCAAUGGGAGGAAGGAAUAGAGUAACAUUACCCAAUGGGAAAUAUAGUACAGCACUUUGCACUAAUGUCGAUACAGUGUAAUCGCCAACUGGUUUGUCCAUCAAUAACUUCAUCCUGAAGCACUUGACUUGAAUUGAAAACUGAUUGCUCUAUAAAGGUAUUCAACUAUAUCGUCCCAUUUCCCAAAAACCAAAACCCAAACCCACUCGCAUACAAAAAGGAUAGACUCUCCAUAAUUUAAACUUGAAUUGAAAACUGAUUGCUCUAGGAACCCUAUUCUUUUUCUUUCAUUGGAUUAUUAUUAUGUUGCCAUAAAUUUCCCUACAGAUCUGAUUUGCAGAAGGACUAAAAGAGGGAGUGUGACAUGUUGGGGCGAAUUCAUCUGGUUAGUUGCAAGGCCGUUCAGACCUCCAGCCCCAUCUGAAUCUGAAUCUGAAUCUCUACACCAAUCUGGCUAAUGAGGUUAUGUUAUCUUAACGACCUUGCAAUUAACCGGGUGAAUUAGCCCCAACAUGUCCCAGAUCGACCUUAUCAACAAUCCAGCAAUUUCGUCUAUCAACAAGUGCACAGUUUUUUUUUUUCAGAUUAUGCACAUGAAUGUUUGUUUAGAUUAACGGAGUGUCACAACCAUCGGACCUUUUUUUUUUGUGUGUUCAUACUUGAUAAUGUUUUUAUGAAGCAGAUUUCACUAAUCCAAAGAGAACACUUCUCAAAGUCAAAACUAACAUGAGCCAUUAAUCCAACCAGACCAUAGAGGAGGUGACAUUCCAGAUUCCACACUUUUUUUUAUAUUUGAUUCGAUAAUUGUUGUUUCCUUUUAUUUAAAUCUCAUACAAGUAGCAGCAGACAAAAAAAGAUCACCUUUCUCAGCUAGCUGUGUUUGCACUUACUCUUCAACAAGCAAGCCUGCCUUUACAAUUAAAGAGUUGCAUUUCAAUGAAUGCUUUGCUUGGCUUGGCUUGGCUUGCUAAUUCAGCUAUUCUACUGGAGAGCUGAGUGAACCAAUUUACAUCAUCUUGCUGACCUUAUUUGGUGUGGUCAGGUCUAUAUAUAGAAGCUCUUUACGUCCUCUAAACCAUGUUCACUGCAGGAAAAUUUUCAGUUGCAACCAAGAAUUCAAUGUAAUGGAAUGGUUGAGAUGCAUAAUCACAUACCACAAAAAACAAUAUAUAGGUGUGGUGAUAACUUUCGGUGUUCAUUCUAAAUCCUAAUUCCCUGAAGCAUGCAUGAGCCAUGAGAUACCUGGCUUUAAGGCCAUUUCUUUAGUCUCUACCACCUAUUAAUAAGUUCAACCAACCUAUAUAUUCAAUAUAUUGAAUUGAACCACCACCCAACAAUAUUCAUCAUAGUUUGUAAUAGAGCACACAUACACUACUUACACUUGUAGAUAUUUAACUAGUCUGAUUACUGUUUCUACCCAAGAUCAACCUUUCUGUAAAUGUAGUACUAGUUGGCCAAUUAAAUUUAUCUUCACAUCUGGCAUUUCAAUCAAAUUCCCUCACCAUUAAACUUU
This is a long non-coding RNA of Lactuca sativa (garden lettuce), 1513 nucleotides long. RefSeq lists it as uncharacterized. The record is from RefSeq and is a predicted model, not a curated record. NCBI's taxonomy places the organism in Eukaryota, Viridiplantae, Streptophyta, Magnoliopsida, Asterales, Asteraceae.